Molecule: ribosomal RNA, 497 nt
Filed under: uncultured bacterium
Lineage: Bacteria
Description: partial 16S ribosomal RNA
Rfam family: Bacterial small subunit ribosomal RNA
Source: RNAcentral
GAUGAACGCUGGCGGCGUGCCUAAUACAUGCAAGUCGAGCGAACAGACGAGGAGCUUGCUCCUCUGACGUUAGCGGCGGACGGGUGAGUAACACGUGGAUAACCUACCUAUAAGACUGGGAUAACUUCGGGAAACCGGAGCUAAUACCGGAUAACAUGUUGAACCGCAUGGUUCAACAGUGAAAGACGGUUUUGCUGUCACUUAUAGAUGGAUCCGCGCCGCAUUAGCUAGUUGGUAAGGUAACGGCUUACCAAGGCAACGAUGCGUAGCCGACCUGAGAGGGGGAUCGCCCACCGUGGAAUGGAACCCGGUCCCAACCCCCAACGGGGGGCAGAGGUGGGAAAUCUCCCGCAAGGGGCGAAAGCCUGACGGGGCAACGCGGCGGGAGGAAAAAAGGUUUUCGGAUCGAAAAACUUUUUUAUUGGGAAAAAAAAAAUGUGAAAUAAACUAUGCCCGUCUGGAGGGUCCCUAAUAAGAAAGCCCCGGCUAACUACGGC